This 442-nucleotide ribosomal RNA is filed under the name uncultured bacterium. RNAcentral's name for it is "partial 16S ribosomal RNA". It matches the Rfam family "Bacterial small subunit ribosomal RNA", at positions 338 to 795 of the family's 1533-position model. The record is from RNAcentral.
CCUACGGGAGGCAGCAGUAGGGAAUCUUUCACAAUGGGCGAAAGCCUGAUGGAGCAACGCCGCGUGCAGGAUGAAGGCCUUCGGGUUGUAAACUGCUUUUAUAAGCGAGAAAUAUGAUGGUAACUUAUGAAUAAGGAUCGGCUAACUCCGUGCCAGCAGCCGCGGUCAUACGGAGGAUCCGAGCAUUAUCCGGAGUGACUGGGUGUAAAGGGUUGCGUAGUUGGCACAAUAAGUAUCUAGUGAAAUCUGGUGGCUCAACCAUUCAGACGAUUAGAUAUACUGUUAAGCUCGAGACCGGCAGGGGUAACUGGAAUUUCUAGUGUAGGAGUGAAAUCCGUAGAUAUUAGAAGGAACACCAAUAGCGAAGGCAGGUUGCUGGGACGGUUCUGACACUAAGGCACGAAAGCGUAGGGAGCAAACGGGAUUAGAUACCCUAGUAGUC